UCGAGGGGUAACAGAGAGAAGCUUGCUUCUUUGCUGACGACCGGCGCACGGGUGCGUAACGCGUAUACAAUCUACCUUUUGCUGAGGGAUAGCCCAGAGAAAUUUGGAUUAAUACCUCAUAGUAUAUAUGAAUCGCAUGGUUUAUAUAUUAAAGGUUACGGCAGAAGAUGAGUAUGCGUUCUAUUAGCUAGAUGGUGUGGUAACGGCACACCAUGGCAACGAUAGAUAGGGGCCCUGAGAGGGGGAUCCCCCACACUGGUACUGAGACACGGACCAGACUCCUACGGGAGGCAGCAGUGAGGAAUAUUGGACAAUGGGCGAGAGCCUGAUCCAGCCAUGCCGCGUGCAGGAAGACUGCCCUAUGGGUUGUAAACUGCUUUUAUACAGGAAGAAACACUCCCUCGUGAGGGAGCUUGACGGUACUGUAAGAAUAAGGAUCAGCUAACUCCGUGCCAGCAGCCGCGGUAAUACGGAGGAUCCAAGCGUUAUCCGGAAUCAUUGGGUUUAAAGGGUCCGUAGGUGGAUAAUUAAGUCAGAGGUGAAAGUCUGCAGCUCAACUGUAGAAUUGCCUUUGAUACUGGUUAUCUUGAAUUAUUAUGAAGUAGUUAGAAUAUGUAGUGUAGCGGUGAAAUGCAUAGAUAUUACAUAGAAUACCAAUUGCGAAGGCAGAUUACUAAUAAUAUAUUGACACUGAUGGACGAAAGCGUGGGGAGCGAACAGGAUUAGAUACCCUGGUAGUCCACGCCGUAAACGAUGGAUACUAGCUGUUCGGAUUUAUCUGAGUGGCUAAGCGAAAGUGAUAAGUAUCCCACCUGGGGAGUACGUUCGCAAGAAUGAAACUCAAAGGAAUUGACGGGGGCCCGCACAAGCGGUGGAGCAUGUGGUUUAAUUCGAUGAUACGCGAGGAACCUUACCAGGGCUUAAAUGUAAGUUGCAUGAUUUAGAGAUAGAUCUUUCUUCGGACUACUUACAAGGUGCUGCAUGGUUGUCGUCAGCUCGUGCCGUGAGGUGUCAGGUUAAGUCCUAUAACGAGCGCAACCCCUGUUGUUAGUUGCCAGCGAUUCAAGUCGGGAACUCUAACAAGACUGCCAGUGCAAACUGUGAGGAAGGUGGGGAUGACG
This 1121-nucleotide ribosomal RNA is filed under the name uncultured bacterium. RNAcentral's name for it is "bacterial SSU rRNA". It matches the Rfam family "Bacterial small subunit ribosomal RNA", at positions 62 to 1184 of the family's 1533-position model. The record is from RNAcentral.